Molecule: long non-coding RNA, 1705 nt
Organism: Magallana angulata
Lineage: Eukaryota; Metazoa; Mollusca; Bivalvia; Ostreida; Ostreidae
Exons: 3
Source: RefSeq, a predicted model, not a curated record
UGGACCUCUGCCAUUUAGUCAACUAAAAUGUGAAAAGAAACGUUAAGGUGACUGAAUGACAUUACUAUAUCUUUAAGUCACCUUGCCAGACAGUUCAGUUAACAUUCAGUUGACUGAAUGUCACAUGCUCGUCCCCUGAUUAGAUUCAUUUGUUAAAGGCAGAAUACUUAUAGAGUUUAUACCAUACUUAUAGUUUUGUCCUAUAGUAAAAAAAUAAAAUCACCCCAAAAGUGUUGACAUUUAUAAACGGUGAAAGUGAAGCUUAAGUUUAAAGCGGAUGUAUUUUGAUCUCUAAAUAAAGAGCUGGACGAUUUCACUUGAGCUGAACCGGAAGAUAAAUUGAUCAUUUUAAUCUAGAGUUGCUGUGGAAUAGCAUGUUUUCUGGUCGUUUUCUUCCUCGGUCAGCGAUGUUCACAAUUUUAACAAUAUUUGUUUUUUACGAUUUAUUUCAGGUAAUAGAAAAUCGUACGUGUACAGGGUAAGUAAUCUCUGAAUUACCGUUGAAAAAAAAAAUUAAUUUGGAUAUAAUUGCCAUUUAAAUCCUGUUAUUCCAGAGUUGAUGGAAAAGAUACUUGUUGCCUUGGAUUUUCGCUAAAUAGAACCACUGGAAAUUGUGAAAAGUGUUCCAUUGGCUUCUAUGGCAAGGGUUGUUUACAGAAAUGCAUUUACCCUUUCUUUGGAGAAGACUGUCAGUAUGUAUGUCAUUGUCCUAAAGAUGGCUGCCACUUUUCUCACGGAUGUCUCCCGAGAGCUGAAACCGUUUCAUACCAGAAAAUAAGUUCAUCUUUAAUAUAUUCAACAAAAAUUUCAAUCUCGACUUCAACUGUUUCAUCAGCAGGUAAACCGGUAUACAAUCCAACCGUUACUCGCAACUUUUUCACGAAUGAUCACGAGUUAAGCGAUUCAACGGAUAAUAGUUUUAAUAAUAAUGACCUUCUAAAAAACAAUGUUGUCAUCACUUUUUUAGGAGUUUUCGUUUGCUUUUUUUCUGUAUUUGUUACUGCAUAUAUUUAUCUCAAGUGUUUUCGAAAGAGAUCAUAUGAAGGUAUAACUAAAGAGACUGAAUGGCAGGCUAUGUAUCAAUCGUUGAAUCGUGAGGCAGUAGAUACUCAAAGUACAACUUAUCCGGAACAAAGGCGAUUCAAUGUCAAUUCAGUGUAUCUGUCUCCAGUGUUCAAUCGCAGUGAGAGUAGUGAAACACCGCAUGGUUCACGGGAAAAUGAUAUGAGACUACAAAUCAAUGAAGUUUUGCAAGAAAUUUCAAUUGACAGCCAAGGAUACGACUCUUCAAUUACAGAAAUUGAACCAAACUUUCUAAACGAUGGAGUAAAUCAUAUUUACGUCGAAAUUGCAGAGGACAACACAUAAGAUGUUGAAACUGGCUGUGAAUCCAAUUGUUUGACAAUGAUGAGGCUACCACUUCUUUGGAGACAAGACUGCAAACAUUAGUGAUUAAUUAUCGAAGUAAAAAAAUGCUGAUUGACGUGAACAAAACAUUUUGAUAGUUCUUCAAAUACUUUUUUUUUUUAUAAUGUUAAGGCUAAUCGGUAUUUCGUAACUUACGACAGGUCCUUUGUUUUUAUAAACAAAUGGUUCGUUUUAUUUGUUGUUUACAUGAAGCAUUUGAUUUAAUUAUGUAUUACCUGACUAUUUGCAAUUACUGUUUAUUUUUUUUUACAGACACUUGUACAAUUUGCAACUAACU